Molecule: ribosomal RNA, 227 nt
Filed under: uncultured bacterium
Lineage: Bacteria
Description: partial 16S ribosomal RNA
Rfam family: Bacterial small subunit ribosomal RNA
Source: RNAcentral
UACGAAGGGGGGCUAGCGUUGCUCGGAAUCACUGGGCGUAAAGGGCGCGUAGGCGGCGUUUUAAGUCGGGGGUGAAAGCCUGUGGCUCAACCACAGAAUUGCCUUCGAUACUGGGACGCUUGAGUGUGGUAGAGGUUGGGUGGAACUGCGAGUGUAGAGGUGAAAUUCGUAGAUAUUCGCAAGAACACCGGUGGCGAAGGCGGCCAACUGGACCAUCACUGACGCUG